Molecule: long non-coding RNA, 509 nt
Organism: Mastomys coucha (southern multimammate mouse)
Lineage: Eukaryota; Metazoa; Chordata; Mammalia; Rodentia; Muridae
Exons: 3
Source: RefSeq, a predicted model, not a curated record
CAAUGAGCAACCUCUCUGUGCCCUCCUCCCCCCUCUUUUUUUGAGACAGGGUUUCACCAUGUAACUCUGGCUGGCCUGGAACUUGCUAUAUAGGCAAGAAUGGCCUAAAAUUCAGGUAUUCAACUGCCUCAACCUCUCACAAGCAAGGAUUAAAGCCCCAGUGUUGGGAAGCGGUGCCUUAUAGGUGGAAUUUGGGUCAUGAGAGGAAAGCCUUCGUAAAUGGACUGACUUUUCUCAUGUGGAUUCUGUGUGGCCUUCUGCUUUCUGUCCUGAGUUGAAGCUUCGUGAGGGUCGUUGCCGGAUGACUCACCAGCCUUUGACUUCUCGAUCUCCAGGACGAUGCAUGCACACACGUGCACCACUUUAUUUUAUGAGGUCCCUAAUCUUAAGUAUUCUAAAAUCGCAACAGAAAACAGACCCGAGACCAAAACCAAGGGAGCUACCUACACGAAAUUCUGUGAUUUCUUAAUACACGGAAGUCAACUCGCUCCACCGUGGGAAUCAUCAGA